RNAcentral lists this ribosomal RNA (395 nucleotides) under uncultured bacterium. RNAcentral's name for it is "partial 16S ribosomal RNA". It matches the Rfam family "Bacterial small subunit ribosomal RNA", at positions 523 to 918 of the family's 1533-position model. The record is from RNAcentral.
AUACGUAGGGUGCAAGCGUUAAUCGGAAUUACUGGGCGUAAAGCGUGCGCAGGCGGUUUUGUAAGACAGAGGUGAAAUCCCCGGGCUCAACCUGGGAACUGCCUUUGUGACUGCAAGGCUAGAGUACGGCAGAGGGGGAUGGAAUUCCGCGUGUAACAGUGAAAUGCGUAGAUAUGCGGAGGAACACCGAUGGCGAAGGCAAUCCCCUGGGCCUGUACUGACGCUCAUGCACGAAAGCGUGGGGAGCAAACAGGAUUAGAUACCCUGGUAGUCCACGCCCUAAACGAUGUCAACUGGUUGUUGGGUCUUCAUUGACUCAGUAACGAAGCUAACGCGUGAAGUUGACCGCCUGGGGAGCACGGCCGCAAGGUUGAAACUCAAAGGAAUUGACGGGG